Long non-coding RNA from Myotis daubentonii (Daubenton's bat), 445 nucleotides. RefSeq lists it as uncharacterized. Lineage: Eukaryota; Metazoa; Chordata; Mammalia; Chiroptera; Vespertilionidae. The record is from RefSeq and is a predicted model, not a curated record.
AAAAAAAUAUUCACAAAGUUAAGCAAACAUUACCACCAUCCAGUUCCAAAACAUUUUCAUACCCAUAUUCCACACCCAUUAGCAGUCACUCCCAUUCCUCCAAGAAACCACUAAUCUACUUUCUGUUUCUAUUCUGGAGACUCCCCAGAAAUAAGAUCACAUAACAUGUGGUCUUUUGUGUCUGGCUUCUUUCACUUAGCAUAAUGUUUUCUAGGUUCAUCGGUGCUGUAGCUGGAUGCAUCCGCAUUCUAGUCCUUUUUAUUGCAGAAUAACAUUCCACUCCUCUUCAUCAAGCUGUUGCCUGGAGGCUGCAAGUAAUCAACAGUGCUGAACAGAUCAGGGUGUCCAAUUCACUGAUAUGCAUGGAGCACCUGGUGAACCAGGAGAAGUGGACCGCCUCAGCUGUGAGUCCGUGCGGCUCAACGACCAGGGAGGAGCCCAGGUG